RNAcentral lists this ribosomal RNA (301 nucleotides) under uncultured bacterium. Its description in RNAcentral is "partial 16S ribosomal RNA". It matches the Rfam family "Bacterial small subunit ribosomal RNA", at positions 509 to 807 of the family's 1533-position model. The record is from RNAcentral.
CAGCAGCCGCGGUAAUACGAAGGGGGCUAGCGUUGUUCGGAUUUACUGGGCGUAAAGCGCACGUAGGCGGACUUUUAAGUCAGGGGUGAAAUCCCGGGGCUCAACCCCGGAACUGCCUUUGAUACUGGAAGUCUUGAGUAUGGUAGAGGUGAGUGGAAUUCCGAGUGUAGAGGUGAAAUUCGUAGAUAUUCGGAGGAACACCAGUGGCGAAGGCGGCUCACUGGACCAUUACUGACGCUGAGGUGCGAAAGCGUGGGGAGCAAACAGGAUUAGAUACCCGAGUAGUCCCUGUCUCUUAUAC